AAUGAACGCUGGCGGCGUGGAUAAGACAUGCAAGUCGAACGGAGAAUACAAUUAGUUUACUAAGCGUAUUCUUAGUGGCGGACGGGUUAGUAACACGUGAGCAACCUGCCUUAAAGUGGGGGAUAGCCUUUCGAAAGGAAGAUUAAUACCGCAUGUGAUCGCAAGAUUAAAGAUGGCUUCGGCUAUCGCUUUAAGAUGGGCUCGCGUCCUAUCAGCUAGUUGGUGAGGUAAAGGCUCACCAAGGCGACGACGGGUAGCUGUUCUGAGAGGAAGAUCAGCAACACUGGAACUGAGACACGGUCCAGACACCUACGGGUGGCAGCAGUCGAGAAUCAUUCACAAUGGACGAAAGUCUGAUGGUGCAACGCCGCGUGGAGGAUGAAGGCCCUAGGGUCGUAAACUCCUGUCAUUGGAGAGUAAGGCAUAUUAGUUAAUAUCUAGUAUGUUUGAUAGUAUCC
Molecule: ribosomal RNA, 458 nt
Filed under: uncultured bacterium
Lineage: Bacteria
Description: bacterial SSU rRNA
Rfam family: Bacterial small subunit ribosomal RNA
Source: RNAcentral